Molecule: non-coding RNA, 790 nt
Organism: Callithrix jacchus (white-tufted-ear marmoset)
Lineage: Eukaryota; Metazoa; Chordata; Mammalia; Primates; Cebidae
Source: RefSeq, a predicted model, not a curated record
CCUCUCACCCGCUGCAGCUCCUGAUUCUUCUCUUCCAACUGGGCCUCCAGCUGCCGAAGCCGCUCCUCGAAAUUCCCAUGACGUUCCUCGGCCUAGAGGAUGGAACCCAUGGCCUGUGACUUUACCCUUCCAGGAUCAGUCAGGCUCUGAGCCCCACCUCCUCCAAGGAUGGACACCAGGCCCCGCCCCCAAAGCACCAGGCUCCUCCCCUGCACCGCUGAUUCAGGCCCCACCUACGUCUAGUCCACUUUUUCAGGACCUGGUCCUUCCCUCUCAGGUCCCAGGCCACCAGUCCUUUCAGUCCAGGUGAGGAAACUAAAUCUGAGAGAGGAGGAGCCACCCCGCCUGUGGACUGAAUUGAAGUUCCACCAUUCAUGAGCAAUGCACAAGAGAGAGGGCUACGGAAAGGCGAGCGAUGGAAGGCAGCCCACCUCCCUGGGCCUCACCUCCUUGAGGUCGCGCUGCAGCUUGGAGUUGGCUUCCUCCGCCUUGCCCAGCUCGCGGUGCGCAGUGCCCAGCUCCUCCUCCAGCUGGCUCAUCUGACGGCACAACACCGCCAGGCGCUCCCGCAGCUGGCACACCUCGGCGCGCUGCCGCUCCAGGGCCUCCUCCAGUUCUGCUGUGCGCCGGUUGGAAUCCCCGGCAGGACCCAGGCCAUUGGCAAGAGUCUGGAGUGAGGGAAAGAAGGGACAACAUCCCAGAGUGUCUCCCAGAGACACAGAGGGAAUGCAAGGAGAAAGUCAAUCAGCUGAAAGUCGAUCAAAGAUCAAUAAAGAUCAUGCAGGUCAGA